This 231-nucleotide long non-coding RNA is filed under the name Homo sapiens (human). RNAcentral describes it as "non-protein coding lnc-UGT2B15-1:2". The record is from RNAcentral. Lineage: Eukaryota; Metazoa; Chordata; Mammalia; Primates; Hominidae.
GAAACAAGGAGCCCCCUGUCACCUUCUUUUAAAACAGAUCUUUCUGUCUCUGUCUUCAUUUCUCCAUUCAUCCCCCUUCAUUCAAUCCUGUAGCAACUGGCAGUGACAAGUGGUGCCCAGGACAGGGACAUGAGCAAAGAAGGUCUGCUGGAGCAGAGAAAGUGAAACUGACCAGAUGAGCAAGAAACCUUGGGACAAGUCUACUGGCAGCUAAUAUAAGCACAUACCAAG